UACAGAGGUCCCGAGCGUUGUUCGGAUUCAUUGGGCGUAAAGGGUGCGUAGGCGGCGGGGCAAGUCUGAUGUGAAAUCCUGGGGCUCAACCCUGGAACUGCAUUGGAUACUUCCUUGCUAGAGUACUGGAGAGGAAACUGGAAUUUACGGUGUAGCAGUGAAAUGCGUAGAGAUCGUAAGGAAGACCAGUGGCGAAGGCGAGUUUCUGGACAGUUACUGACGCUGAGGCACAAAGGCCAGGGGAGCAAACGGG
RNAcentral lists this ribosomal RNA (253 nucleotides) under uncultured bacterium. RNAcentral's name for it is "partial 16S ribosomal RNA". It matches the Rfam family "Bacterial small subunit ribosomal RNA", at positions 524 to 776 of the family's 1533-position model. The record is from RNAcentral.